RNAcentral lists this ribosomal RNA (520 nucleotides) under uncultured Acaulospora. RNAcentral describes it as "SSU rRNA". It matches the Rfam family "Eukaryotic small subunit ribosomal RNA", at positions 569 to 1088 of the family's 1831-position model. The record is from RNAcentral. Lineage: Eukaryota; Fungi; Glomeromycota; Glomeromycetes; Diversisporales; Acaulosporaceae.
AGCAGCCGCGGUAAUUCCAGCUCCAAUAGCGUAUAUUAAAGUUGUUGCAGUUAAAAAGCUCGUAGUUGAAUUUCGGGGUUUAUCCGUUGGUCGGGCUUUUUGGUCUGUACUGGCGUGAUGGAUUCCUACCUUCUGAAUAACCGGCAUGCCAUUAAUUUGGUGCGCCGGGGAAGCAGGACUGUUACCUUGAAAAAAUUAGAGUGCUUAAAGCAGGCUUAUUCCUAAAUACAUUAGCAUGGAAUAAUGAAAUAGGACGGCAUGGUUCUAUUUUGUUGGUUUCUAGGAUCACCGUAAUGAUUAAUAGGGAUAGUUGGGGGCGAUUAGUAUUCAAUUGUCAGAGGUGAAAUUCUUGGAUUUAUUGAAGACUAACUUCUGCGAAAGCAUUUGCCAAGGAUGUUUCAUUAAUCAAGAACGAAAGUUAGGGGAUCGAAGACGAUCAGAUACCGUCGUAGUCUUAACCAUAAACUAUGCCGACUAGGGAUCGGACGAUGUUAAUUUUUUAAUGACUCGUUCGGCGCCU